UACAGAGGGGGCAAGCGUUAUUCGGAAUUAUUGGGCGUAAAGGGCGCGUAGGCGGCUUUGCAAGUGACGGGUGAAAUCCCUCGGCUUAACCGAGGAACUGCCUGUCAGACUGCAUGGCUUGAGACCGGGAGAGGUGAGUGGAAUUCCCAGUGUAGCGGUGAAAUGCGUAGAUAUUGGGAGGAACACCGGUGGCGAAGGCGGGUCUCUGGGCAGUAACUGACGCUGAGGAGCGAAAGCGUGGGUAGCAAACAGG
Molecule: ribosomal RNA, 253 nt
Filed under: uncultured bacterium
Lineage: Bacteria
Description: partial 16S ribosomal RNA
Rfam family: Bacterial small subunit ribosomal RNA
Source: RNAcentral